Molecule: long non-coding RNA, 192 nt
Organism: Pipra filicauda (Wire-tailed manakin)
Lineage: Eukaryota; Metazoa; Chordata; Aves; Passeriformes; Pipridae
Exons: 3
Source: RefSeq, a predicted model, not a curated record
CAUCGCUGCCAUCAUCAUCAUCAUCGGCUUCGUGGGAGUCGGUGUCUGGAAGCUCCGAUCCGGGAAGAGGAAGGGGAAUGGAUACGACCCCGCGCCCACCACAGGAAUCACGGCCUGAGCGAUCCUGGAGCUGGAUCCGCCCCUUCCCUCUCCCUGUGGAAAGGCAGGAACUGCUGGCAGAGCUCAUCCCGC